GAAAGAACCCAGAGAAUUGCUUCCUAUGCUCUUGUGAUAGUAAUGAAGGACUGAAGGAGAUGACAAAACUUGGGGUCCUGUCAGUUUAGAAACAGCUUGGAUCUAGUGGGAAACAUGCAAAAGCUGAUGGCAUAUGAUGUCGCAGGGAGACCUGGAGUAUCCCCAAAGUUGUUCUUGUUAAGACCUUCUGUACAAAGGAAAUUACACACUUCUGCCUUUUCCAGUGGCCUGUAAUUUUUGAAAGAUGAAGCUGACUGAAAUGCCUUGAGCCAAAUGUUGACUUCCAAAGGACCUUGAGGACAAUCUGGGGGACUUCUACUGUGUGCUUCCCCUGGCUUAACUGUGAACUAGGCAUCUACUACACACUCUUGUCUGGGCUA
This 380-nucleotide long non-coding RNA is filed under the name Coturnix japonica (Japanese quail). Its description in RNAcentral is "lncRNA (ENSCJPG00005020353.1)". Lineage: Eukaryota; Metazoa; Chordata; Aves; Galliformes; Phasianidae. The record is from RNAcentral.